RNAcentral lists this small RNA (3671 nucleotides) under Drosophila pseudoobscura pseudoobscura. Its description in RNAcentral is "GA32526". Lineage: Eukaryota; Metazoa; Arthropoda; Insecta; Diptera; Drosophilidae. The record is from RNAcentral.
CGAGUGAGGAGCAUCCAAAAUUUAAGUUUUUAUUUCCGGAAAACAAAAAUUCAGUAAUUCAGUGUACAAAAAAAAAAAUUGUUUCCUAGUUUAAAAUUUGUUUGUUACUUUUUGGACACACGAACUCAAAGAAUGACUCUUGGGAAGGGAAGGCGGCUCUUCAAAUAAAGAAAGGCGAUCGUGAUGGUACCGGGAUAUCCAAACAAAUACUCCCCCAGUUCGGAUUACCAGUGGCUUGCAUCAAUAUUAAUAAUCACUAUAUUAAGCACUAUAUUAAGCACAGAGAAAGGGAAGGAACGAAAUGGAAGGAUGGUGACCCUUCAGACGAGGGAAGGACAUCGUGAUGGUACCUGGAAUAUCCGAUCAGUUAUUCCCUCAGUUCGGAUAUACAGUGGCUCGCAUCAAUAUUAAUAAUCACUAUAUUAAGCACUAUAUUAAGCACAGAGAAAGAGAAGGAAGGAAAUGGAAGGAUGGUGACCCUUCAGACGAGGGAAGGACAUCGUGAUGGUGCCUGGAAUAUCCGAUCAGUUAUUCCCCCAGUUCGGAUUCCCAGUGGCUUGCAUCAAUACCAAAUAAACAUUAUGCAACGAGAUCAAGACCGAAUAAAUCACUAUAUUAAGCACUAUAUUAAGCACAGAGAAAGGGAAGGAAGGAAAUGGAAGGAUGGUGAUCCUUCAGACGAAGGAAGGACAUCGUGAUGGUACCUGGAAUAUCCGAUCAGUUAUUCCCUCAGUUCGGAUAUACAGUGGCUUCCAUCAAUGCCAAAUAAACAUUAUGCAACGAGAUCAAGACCGAAUAAAUCACUAUAUUAAGCACUAUAUUAAGCACAGAGAAAGGGAAGGAAGGAAAUGGAAGGAUGGUGAUCCUUCAGACGAAGGAAGGACAUCGUGAUGGUACCUGGAAUAUCCGAUCAGUUAUUCCCUCAGUUCGGAUAUACAGUGGCUCGCAUCAAUACCAAAUAAACAUUAUGCAACGAGAUCAAGACCGAAUAAAUCACUAUAUUAAGCACUAUAUUAAGCACAGAGAAAGGGAAGGAAGGAAAUGGAAGGAUGGUGAUCCUUCAGACGAAGGAAGGACAUCGUGAUGGUACCUGGAAUAUCCGAUCAGUUAUUCCCUCAGUUCGGAUAUAUAGUGGCUUCCAUCAAUACCACAUAAACAUUAUGCAACGAGAUCAAGACCGAAUAAUUCACUAUAUUAAGCACUAUAUUAAGCACAGAGAAAGACGAGGGAACGACAUCGUGAUGGUACCUGGAAUAUCCGAUCAGUUAUUCCCUCAGUUCGGAUAUACAGUGGCUUCCAUCAAUACCAAAUAAACAUUAUGCAACGAGAUCAAGACCGAAUAAAUCACUAUAUUAAGCACUAUAUUAAGCACAGAGAAAGGGAAGGAAGGAAAUGGAAGGAUGGUGAUCCUUCAGACGAAGGAAGGACAUCGUGAUGGUACCUGGAAUAUCCGAUCAGUUAUUCCCUCAGUUCGGAUAUACAGUGGCUUCCAUCAAUACCAAAUAAACAUUAUGCAACGAGAUCAAGACCGAAUAAAUCACUAUAUUAAGCACUAUAUUAAGCACAGAGAAAGGGAAGGAAGGAAAUGGAAGGAUGGUGAUCCUUCUGACGAGAGAAGGACAUCGUGAUGGUACCUGGAAUAUCCGAUCAGUUAUUCCCUCAGUUCGGAUAUACAGUGGCUCGCAUCAAUACCAAAUAAACAUUAUGCAACGAGAUCAAGAACGAAUAAAUCACUAUAUUAAGCACUAUAUUAAGCACAGAGAAAGGGAAGGAAGGAAAUGGAAGGAUGGUGAUCCUUCAGACGAGGGAAGGACAUCGUGAUGGUACCUGGAAUAUCCGAUCAGUUAUUCCCUCAGUUCGGAUAUACAGUGGCUUCCAUCAAUACCAAAUAAACAUUAUGCAACGAGAUCAAGACCGAAUAAAUCACUAUAUUAAGCACUAUAUUAAGCACAGAGAAAGGGAAGGAAGGAAAUGGAAGGAUGGUGAUCCUUCAGACGAAGGAAGGACAUCGUGAUGGUACCUGGAAUAUCCGAUCAGUUAUUCCCUCAGUUCGCAUAUACAGUGGCUUCCAUCAAUACCAAAUAAACAUUAUGCAACGAGAUCAAGACCGAAUAAAUCACUAUAUUAAGCACUAUAUUAAGCACAGAGAAAGGGAAGGAAGGAAAUGGAAGGAUGGUGAUCCUUCAGACGAAGGAAGGACAUCGUGAUGGUACCUGGAAUAUCCGAUCAGUUAUUCCCUCAGUUCGGAUAUACAGUGGCUCGCAUCAAUACCAAAUAAACAUUAUGCAACGAGAUCAAGACCGAAUAAAUCACUAUAUUAAGCACUAUAUUAAGCACUAUAUUAAGCACUAUAUUAAGCACUAUAUUAAGCACAGAGAAAGGGAAGGAAGGAAAUGGAAGGAUGGUGAUCCUUCAGACGAGGGAAGGACAUCGUGAUGGUACCUGGAAUAUCCGAUCAGUUAUUCCCUCAGUUCGGAUAUACAGUGGCUCGCAUCAAUACCAAAUAAACAUUAUGCAACGAAAUCAAGACCGAAUAAAUCACUAUAUUAAGCACUAUAUUAAGCACUAUAUUAAGCACUAUAUUAAGCACAGAGAAAGGGAAGGAAGGAAAUGGAAGGAUGGUGAUCCUUCAGACGAAGGAAGGACAUCGUGAUGGUACCUGGAAUAUCCGAUCAGUUAUUCCCUCAGUUCGCAUAUACAGUGGCUUCCAUCAAUACCAAAUAAACAUUAUGCAACGAGAUCAAGACCGAAUAAAUCACUAUAUUAAGCACUAUAUUAAGCACAGAGAAAGGGAAGGAAGGAAAUGGAAGGAUGGUGAUCCUUCAGACGAAGGAAGGACAUCGUGAUGGUACCUGGAAUAUCCGAUCAGUUAUUCCCUCAGUUCGGAUAUACAGUGGCUUCCAUCAAUACCAAAUAAACAUUAUGCAACGAGAUCAAGACCGAAUAAAUCACUAUAUUAAGCACUAUAUUAAGCACAGAGAAAGGGAAGGAAGGAAAUGGAAGGAUGGUGAUCCUUCAGACGAAGGAAGGACAUCGUGAUGGUACCUGGAAUAUCCGAUCAGUUAUUCCCUCAGUUCGGAUAUACAGUGGCUUCCAUCAAUACCAAAUAAACAUUAUGCAACGAGAUCAAGACCGAAUAAAUCACUAUAUUAAGCACUAUAUUAAGCACAGAGAAAGGGAAGGAAGGAAAUGGAAGGAUGGUGAUCCUUCAGACGAAGGAAGGACAUCGUGAUGGUACCUGGAAUAUCCGAUCAGUUAUUCCCUCAGUUCGGAUAUACAGUGGCUCGCAUCAAUACCAAAUAAACAUUAUGCAACGAGAUCAAGACCGAAUAAAUCACUAUAUUAAGCACUAUAUUAAGCACAGAGAAAGGGAAGGAAGGAAAUGGAAGGAUGGUGAUCCUUCAGACGAAGGAAGGACAUCGUGAUGGUACCUGGAAUAUCCGAUCAGUUAUUCCCUCAGUUCGGAUAUACAGUGGCUCGCAUCAAUAUUAAUAAUCACUAUAUUAAGCACUAUAUUAAGCACAGAGAAAGGGAAGGAAGGAAAUGGAAGGAUGGUGAUCCUUCAGACGAAGGAAGGACAACGUGAUGGUACCUGGAAUAUCCGAUCAGUUAUUCCCUCAGUUCGGAUAUACAGUGGGUCGCAUCAAUACCAAAUAAACAUUAUGCAACGA